AGUUGCGAAUGCACCGGGACAGGCUCAGUGUGGAAAUCAGUGCAUAUGGCUCUGCCUUGUUAUAUUAUGAUAUGCUACCAACAGAGGUGCAGGAAAACGGCGCCUUUGGGAACUUGCAUUGAUAAGGGUGAGAAUCCUGAAUGCAAUCUGCAAACCUCAGUGUAUGGUGUGUCUUCUAAGAGUCACGUUCCUUGGGAUUGGUAUGCAAAGAAGGUGGUAGUUUUCGUCUAAAGCUAAAUAUUUGUUUGAGACCAGUAGUGAACAAGUACCGUGAGGGAAAUGUGAAACAAAAGCUCUGUGAAGAGAGAUAGAAGUUCCUGAACCUGUUGAAAGGGAAGUGAAGGAAUACAGUGUAUAUUGGUGAGAUUGCUGCAUGCUNNNNNNNNNNNNNNNNNNNNNNNNNNNNNNNACAUGUGUGUAAGCUCACGGGUUCUAAAAAACACCUGCUCGUGCAGUGAACAUGCUGGUUGGGAUGUUUGCACCAGCAACAGGCCACUCACUCAUGAGGGUCUGAGGAUGAGCAUGCCUGAUAGGACCCGAAAGAUGGUGAACUAUGCCAGUGAAGGGCGACCUCAGGGGAAACCCUGAUGGAGGCCUGCAGUGAUACUGACGUGCAAAUCGUUCGUUAUACGUAGGUAUAGGGGUGAAAGACCAAUCGAGUUAUCUAGUAGCUGGUUCCAUCCGAAGUUUCCCUCAGGAUAGCUGGAACUGAACAGCUUUAUCAGGUAAAGCAAAUGAUUAGAGGACUUUGGGGCUUGUUGCCCUGGACCUAUUCUCAAACUCUUAAUACGUGAGAUGCAGUAGCUAUUUGUGUGAGCCCCCAGGACAAGUGGCACUUCCAAGUGGACCAUUUUUGGUAAGCAGAAUUGGUGAUGAGGGAUGAACCUAAUGUCGGGAUAACAUGCUUAGUUGCUUGCUCAUAAGAUACCAUAAAGGGUGUUGGUUCAUUUUAACAGUAGGAUGGUGGUCAUGGAAGUUGAAAUCUGCUGAGGAGUGUGUAACAACUCACU
Molecule: ribosomal RNA, 1010 nt
Filed under: Protoperidinium pentagonum
Lineage: Eukaryota; Dinophyceae; Peridiniales; Protoperidiniaceae
Description: partial 28S rRNA
Rfam family: Eukaryotic large subunit ribosomal RNA
Source: RNAcentral